Molecule: ribosomal RNA, 253 nt
Filed under: uncultured bacterium
Lineage: Bacteria
Description: partial 16S ribosomal RNA
Rfam family: Bacterial small subunit ribosomal RNA
Source: RNAcentral
UACAGAGGGGGCAAGCGUUGUUCGGAAUUACUGGGCGUAAAGGGCGCGUAGGCGGCCGCCUAAGUCAGACGUGAAAUCCCUCGGCUCAACCGGGGAACUGCGUCUGAUACUGGGUGGCUUGAAUCCGGGAGAGGGAUGCGGAAUUCCAGGUGUAGCGGUGAAAUGCGUAGAUAUCUGGAGGAACACCGGUGGCGAAGGCGGCAUCCUGGACCGGCAUUGACGCUGAGGUGCGAAAGCCAGGGGAGCAAACGGG